UACGUAGGGUGCGAGCGUUAAUCGGAAUUACUGGGCGUAAAGCGAGCGCAGACGGUUACUUAAGCAGGAUGUGAAAUCCCCGGGCUCAACCUGGGAACUGCGUUCUGAACUGGGUGACUAGAGUGUGUCAGAGGGAGGUAGAAUUCCACGUGUAGCAGUGAAAUGCGUAGAGAUGUGGAGGAAUACCGAUGGCGAAGGCAGCCUCCUGGGAUAACACUGACGUUCAUGCUCGAAAGCGUGGGUAGCAAACAGG
RNAcentral lists this ribosomal RNA (253 nucleotides) under uncultured bacterium. RNAcentral describes it as "partial 16S ribosomal RNA". It matches the Rfam family "Bacterial small subunit ribosomal RNA", at positions 524 to 776 of the family's 1533-position model. RNAcentral also lists the same sequence under 3 other names. The record is from RNAcentral.